AUAUUUUUUUUUUUUUUUUUGUGAUAAAAUCGAGAAAUCCAAAUUCACAAGCCGGUGAGCCGAUGGGCAAAAUUUUCAAAAUUUUUAUUUUUUUUGUUGAAAGCGGCCCCAGGCAUACCUGAAAAAUCGAUUUUUUUUAAUUUUUUUUUUUGUGAUAAAAUCGAGAAAUCCAAAUUCACAAGCCGGGUGAGCCGAUGGGGCAAAUUUUUCAAAAAUCGUAAAAAAAAAAAAUUUGAUCGCAAAAAUUCUGCAGAUUAACAAUCUUAUUCGUAUUUGUGCCGAAAAGAUCAAUCAAAUUUUUAAACUAAAUGCAUAUUUUCAACUUUUUCACUUUUUCACUUUUUCAAAUCCGCUGCCCGGCUUUGGUCCCCGGCCCGGGUUACUCAUCAGUUUACCACCAAAAUUUGAGCCCCGUUUGCACUCUGAUUGCUUGCACACGACUUCAUGACUUAAACUCUGAAUUCCAGCUUACAGGAGCACUGGGGGUUCUAUUUCGCGAUGAUUUUUUAGAAUUGAUCGUUAAUUACAGACGUUCAAUGCCUAUAAAGGAGUUGAUUUGACCCUACCAAUUGGUUUAAUUUUAACCAGAGCGGCUUACAUAAUACUGUCUAGUCGAUGAUUCCAGGAUCCAACAGUCCCUGGGGAGGGAGGGAGGGUGUCUUCGGCUUAAUUGUCAACCCCUCCAGCCUGAAUCCCAGCGCACCUGGACCUAGCCUGUGUGUAAGCGGUUCCUCCUGUCGUUGAUCCCUAUCUGCCUAAAUGCUAAUGGCGAGGCCAAUUUCACGGCGUUCAAUUAUACGUAGAGUGGUUGGUCUUGGAGGCGUUUAAUUGCAAGUAAAUUAGUAUGAUUUCUAAGCUUCAUUGGAGUUUAGGUUACUUUUUACAUAUUGCACUCAAAAGUCCUCGGCAGUUGUUUAGCUGCAGGGGUACUGAAGAGGUCUUGUAGAUUUUUGGCUGUUAGCCAAAUCUUCAAAUAAACUAUAUGGAGGCAACCACUGUGACUUGCCUUUCUAGGUGACAAUCAGAUGGAUUCUUCAUUUUGGGAUGCGUUAUGUACCAACAUAUGCGGAAGGGUGUGUUUUAUAACUGCUUUUUUUUUGCAUUGCUUGGGAACGGAUCGUAGCCAAGGUAUCUCAGUGGAGGCAAUUGGAUGAUUAAGAACCUAAGCUACAGCUCUUGCUUAGUUAUAAGUUCCUUAGUCCAACAAAUUAAUGUUGCAACGUUAUUAAACUCGGGGCUUUCUAUUUCCUAGUGAAGGGAAAUAGAGGGUCCACCCCUGAUAUCUAUCUGAAAGGAAGUUAUUAGGGGAAUGAUAGUUA
RNAcentral lists this unclassified non-coding RNA (1319 nucleotides) under Peltigera membranacea. RNAcentral describes it as "partial external transcribed spacer". The record is from RNAcentral. Lineage: Eukaryota; Fungi; Ascomycota; Lecanoromycetes; Peltigerales; Peltigeraceae.